RNAcentral lists this ribosomal RNA (269 nucleotides) under uncultured bacterium. Its description in RNAcentral is "partial 16S ribosomal RNA". It matches the Rfam family "Bacterial small subunit ribosomal RNA", at positions 335 to 600 of the family's 1533-position model. The record is from RNAcentral.
CCGCCUACGGGGGGCAGCAGUGAGGAAUAUUGGUCAAUGGGCUUACGCCUGAACCAGCCAAAUCGCGUGAGGGAAGACUGCCCUAUGGGUUGUAAACCUCUUUUGUCAGGGAGCAAUUGGCGCUACGUGUAGCGUUAUCGAGAGUACCUGAAGAAAAAGCAUCGGCUAACUCCGUGCCAGCAGCCGCGGUAAUACGGAGGAUGCGAGCGUUAUCCGGAUUUAUUGGGUUUAAAGGGUGCGUAGGCGGCUUGGCAAGUCAGUGGUGAAAU